AGCAAAAAGCAUCACAAUUCACAAUUUUUUAAUUUUAUUUAAUAAAUAUAAAUUUCCAAAGUACAACUUUUGGGGAGCCUGAGAAACAGCUACCACAUCCAAGGAAGGCAGCAGGUGCACAAAUUACCCACUCCCGACCCUUUAGAGGCCCUGUAAUUGGAAUGAGUCCACUUUAAAUCCUUUAACGAGGAUCCAUUGGAGGGCAAGUCUGGUGCCCGCAGCCGCGGUAAUUCCAGCUCCGA
Molecule: non-coding RNA, 242 nt
Filed under: Oryctolagus cuniculus (rabbit)
Lineage: Eukaryota; Metazoa; Chordata; Mammalia; Lagomorpha; Leporidae
Description: Eukaryotic small subunit ribosomal RNA
Rfam family: Eukaryotic small subunit ribosomal RNA
Source: Rfam by way of RNAcentral